AUAAACUCAAAAUCGUGUGUAUUUUAAGAUGUGUUGUGUCGAUUGGUUUAGAAUUAUGUCUAUUGGUUUAAGGUUAUUUAAAUGUCAAUUCCUUGGAUUGAGUAUAUUAAUCUCCAAAUUGUUCUCUCCCCUGCAGAUCAAUUGUGCAUACUCAUAAUCUCAUAUAUUGUUCAUCCAAUAAAUUCAAUGAUCCUAUAUUAUUUGAUCCUAAAGGGCAUGUGAUAAUCUGACCCUAAUUAUAUAUUCUUAUGUUCCCAUUAAAGUCAAUGGGAACAUCUUGCAAUCUCAGCCAUUGGAUGAAGGUGAGAUUAAAUCCUAACCCUUAUAAUUAAGAAAAAGAAGGGGAGGUUACCAAACGGUUGGGUCAACCCUUUUCUCUACCCCACGUCUCGCCAGUUACCAGCAUAUCCCCAUUCCUUUUGAAGCAUAUCUUAUAUUCAAUGUCGAUUUCAAAACAUUCGACCAUUCUUCCAUUGCGAUCUGAUAUGGUAAGCAUUUAGAUUUAAACUAGGUUUCUUAUUAUUAUAAUUUUAAUGCUUGUGUUUGUGAUUGGUUGCAGACCUCGCGACAUGUUGUCUACAUUCUCCUCACCAUAAUCAUUCAUGUUCGCGGAUCACAGGGCCAGAUUCAUUCAUGAUUCUGUUGUUAUAUUUGAAUGGUAUGCUGCAUUGAAGGAGUUCUUAAAGGACCUUCCGCUUUUAUCUUGCUCUGAAACCUAAACCUAACAAGGAAUGAGAAAAACCACAAAGGGAGGCAAACAAACUGUUGGAUUGAGUGCUUUGCUGCAUAUAGAGUUGAAGGGGUACCUAUUUUUCUGAUUCUCAAGAUGUUGCUGCUGCACUGAUGCUUUUCUGCUUACUGAACCUUCAGGGUUUCCUCUUGGGUGCAUAUAUAAGGAGACAUAU
Molecule: long non-coding RNA, 905 nt
Filed under: Helianthus annuus (common sunflower)
Lineage: Eukaryota; Viridiplantae; Streptophyta; Magnoliopsida; Asterales; Asteraceae
Source: RNAcentral